GCAAGUCGAACGAACCCUUCGGGGUGAGUGGCGCACGGGUGCGUAACACGUGGGAACCUGCCCUUAGGUUCGGAAUAACACAGAGAAAUUUGUGCUAAUACCGGAUAAUGUCUUCGGACCAAAGAUUUAUCGCCUUUGGAUGGGCCCGCGUAGGAUUAGCUAGUUGGUGAGGUAAAGGCUCACCAAGGCGACGAUCCUUAGCUGGUCUUAGAGGAUGAUCAGCCACACUGGGACUGAGACACGGCCCAGACUCCUACGGGAGGCAGCAGUGGGGAAUAUUGGACAAUGGGCGAAAGCCUGAUCCAGCAAUGCCGCGUGAGUGAUGAAGGCCUUAGGGUUGUAAAGCUCUUUUACCUGGGAUGAUAAUGACAGUACCAGGAGAAUAAGCCCCGGCUAACUCCGUGCCAGCAGCCGCGGUAAUACGGAGGGGGCUAGCGUUGUUCGGAAAUACUGGGCGUAAAGCGCACGUAGGCGGCUCAGCAAGUCAGGGGUGAAAUCCCGGGGCUCAACCCCGGAACUGCCCUUGAAACUGCUAGGCUAGAAUCUUGGAGAGGCGAGUGGAAUUCCGAGUGUAGAGGUGAAAUUCGUAGAUAUUCGGAAGAACACCAGUGGCGAAGGCGACUCGCUGGACAAGUAUUGACGCUGAGGUGC
RNAcentral lists this ribosomal RNA (651 nucleotides) under uncultured bacterium. Its description in RNAcentral is "bacterial SSU rRNA". It matches the Rfam family "Bacterial small subunit ribosomal RNA", at positions 57 to 754 of the family's 1533-position model. The record is from RNAcentral.